Molecule: ribosomal RNA, 305 nt
Filed under: uncultured bacterium
Lineage: Bacteria
Description: bacterial SSU rRNA
Rfam family: Bacterial small subunit ribosomal RNA
Source: RNAcentral
UUUACUCUACGGGAGGCAGCAGUCGGGAAUAUUGCGCAAUGGAGGAAACUCUGACGCAGUGACGCCGCGUAUAGGAAGAAGGUUUUCGGAUUGUAAACUAUUGUCGUGAGGGAAGAAAUAGACAGUACCUCAGGAGGAAGCUCCGGCUAACUAUGUGCCAGCAGCCGCGGUAAUACAUAGGGAGCAAGCGUUAUCCGGAUUUAUUGGGUGUAAAGGGGGCGUAGACGGGAAAUUAAGUUAGUUGUGAAAUCCCUCGGCUUCACUGAGGAACUGCAACUAAAACUGGUUUUCUUGAGUACUGGAGG